UGCUGGGCCUCCAUUAGGACAAGGCCCUGAGGUAAGGCUGAAGAUGGCACAGGGCUGUGGGGAGGCGGCCCAGGGAAUUAAAGCCGCAGCAUGACUUAGAUAAAAGGACACAGUAGACUAUGGAGCUGGAAGCCAGGAGGCAGAGUGAGGAGGCAGAGCUGGAGCAACAGAAUCUUGAUGACCAGGACAAAUGCAGGCCUCUUGAAAAGGAGAAGAGGGUCAGGUCACAUCCACGGGACUGAAGACAGCAGAAAUAAGGGUGUGCCUGAUCAGUGGCUAGCUGACAAACAGAUGUGUGUAUGAUGGACCCCAUCACCCUGCCUGGAGCCUGAGUCAUCAUGGACACUAAAGGUUGUUCUGAGAUUCUGACUGUGGGAACAUGGGGAAUUAUUUUUCUUGAUGUGGUGUUUUCUGUAAUGAGGCAACAAGGGUUAAAUCCCAAGGGCACACGUAGAAGCCUGCCAUGGCCAGACUCAGUGGUCGAGAUAGCAAGCUCAUUGUCUACCCUCGCCAGGGAAACUGAGACAGUGUCAAGUGUGUCUGGCCCAGUUAAAAGGUGCUGUGGCCCAGAAUCUGCUGGGAAUAGUGAGUCACUCGUACAGUUAAAAAAUGCUUUGGACCAGAACUCCACUGGGGGCAGGGAAGGUUGGUGAGUGCAGUAACACACUGGUACAGCUAGGAAAUGGUGUUUACUAGUUUGUUCAGCAGCUGCAUAAAUUAAUACAUUAAAAAAUACUUCCUAUGGCAA
Molecule: long non-coding RNA, 748 nt
Organism: Chelonia mydas (Green sea turtle)
Lineage: Eukaryota; Metazoa; Chordata; Testudines; Cheloniidae
Exons: 2
Source: RefSeq, a predicted model, not a curated record